RNAcentral lists this transfer RNA (90 nucleotides) under Streptosporangium pseudovulgare. RNAcentral describes it as "tRNA-Arg". Lineage: Bacteria; Bacillati; Actinomycetota; Actinomycetes; Streptosporangiales; Streptosporangiaceae. The record is from RNAcentral.
CGCUCGUCUGGUCGGACGAGGGCGACUACCAGGUGGCCUACGACGCGAGCACGGCCACCCGUGCCGAGGCGUUCGACGCCUGGCGGGCGG